RNAcentral lists this ribosomal RNA (279 nucleotides) under uncultured bacterium. RNAcentral describes it as "partial 16S ribosomal RNA". It matches the Rfam family "Bacterial small subunit ribosomal RNA", at positions 506 to 784 of the family's 1533-position model. The record is from RNAcentral.
UGCCAGCCGCUGCGGUAAUACGGAGGGGGUUAGCGUUGUUCGGAAUUACUGGGCGUAAAGCGCACGUAGGCGGAUCAGAAAGUUAGGGGUGAAAUCCCGGGGCUCAACCCCGGAACUGCCUCUAAAACUCCUGGUCUUGAGUUCGAGAGAGGUGAGUGGAAUUCCGAGUGUAGAGGUGAAAUUCGUAGAUAUUCGGAAGAACACCAGUGGCGAAGGCGGCUUACUGGCACAUUUCUGACGCUGAGGUUCGAAAGCGUGGGGAGCGAACAGGAUUAGAUA